UUCCAACUCCCAAUUUUUCGUCAAAAUCACUUUUAUCCCAAAACCCUUUAGCGGUUUAGCGGCUCCUCAUCACACUUCAGGUUCAAGCAAAGCUUUCAAGAGUUAUUGAGUUUCUAGAGCUUUCUCAACCCAGACCUAGGCUUGGAAGUUCGAGAAGCGGAGUUUGAGUUAGACGAAUCAUUUGGCGUUAGAGCUCCUGUUUGUUGCUACAGCAUACAAGGGACACAAACACUGGAAAAGAUCCAAAUUAUCAAAAACUUUGGGAAAUGACUAGAUGAAGCCAAAUGGACAGAUAAAGUGAAAGAUGUUAUUGCUGAAAAAGAUCAAGAAAUCGAAGAGGACACCGAUAUGGAUCCUACUAUCAAUGCUGCAUUUAUGGAAGUUGUGGGAGAAAAAUCAAAGUACAUUCUUGAUCAAGGAUCUUGAAUUAAGUCAGCAAGUAGGAUAUCGAGAAAUGAAAUUCAAGAGCAACUUAAAGCACGCCAAAAGGAAGCGAAAGAUGAACGUCAUAAAUGAGAGAGUGUAGAAAGCAAGCUAAUGGAAGUUAAAAAUCAGCUUGAAGAGGAAUGAAGAAAAUGAGAAGUAAUGGAAGUUCGUUUAGUGCAUGACCAAAAAAUGUUAAAAGAUAGCGUAAUGGCACUAGUUUCUCAUAUGCAAAGUUCUAAGAAUGGACUUUCGCUUUCGGCUACAAUUUUCAAUAUGAUUACAAAUUCAACUACUUCAUAUGAGACAAGUCCUGCAAGUCUUAGGGAUGACAACCGGGU
This is a long non-coding RNA of Capsicum annuum, 764 nucleotides long. RefSeq lists it as uncharacterized. The transcript has 5 exons. The record is from RefSeq and is a predicted model, not a curated record. NCBI's taxonomy places the organism in Eukaryota, Viridiplantae, Streptophyta, Magnoliopsida, Solanales, Solanaceae.